UACGUAGGGGGCGAGCGUUGUCCGGAAUUAUUGGGCGUAAAGGGCUCGUAGGCGGUCUGUUGCGUCGGGAGUGAAAACUCAGGGCUUAACCCUGAGCCUGCUUCCGAUACGGGCAGACUAGAGGUAUGCAGGGGAGAAAGGAAUUCCUGGUGUAGCGGUGAAAUGCGCAGAUAUCAGGAGGAACACCGGUGGCGAAGGCGGUUCUCUGGGCAUUACCUGACGCUGAGGAGCGAAAGUGUGGGGAGCGAACAGG
This 253-nucleotide ribosomal RNA is filed under the name uncultured bacterium. RNAcentral describes it as "partial 16S ribosomal RNA". It matches the Rfam family "Bacterial small subunit ribosomal RNA", at positions 524 to 776 of the family's 1533-position model. The record is from RNAcentral.